This 4515-nucleotide long non-coding RNA is filed under the name Phaseolus vulgaris (common bean). RNAcentral's name for it is "long non-coding RNA (PVUL_LNC001050)". The record is from RNAcentral. Lineage: Eukaryota; Viridiplantae; Streptophyta; Magnoliopsida; Fabales; Fabaceae.
CAAAAUAAAAUAUGAAGCUCCUAUGGGUUUGGUGUGUGAUAAUAAGUCUGCAAUAUUGCACACAAUCCAGUUUAACCUGAUCGAAUAAAGCAUGUGGAGAUAGACCGACACUUUAUUAAGGAGAAAUUGGAUAAUGGUCUUAUAGCCACUGAGUACAUCCCUUCAAGACUCCAAUUGACAGAUAUAUUUACUAAGGGACUUCCCACAAAACAUUUUGAAGAUCUUACUUGCAAGUUGGGAAUGAUAAUAUACAUGCACCAGCUUGAGGGGGAGUGUUGCAGAAUCAGAGAAAUUAUUCCGUAAUUAAGUACAGAUUUCAUUCUCAAUUUAUUAGGACAAAUUUGUUAGUAAUUUGAUUUAAUUUGUAUAGUUUUAAUCAUCCAUUAUUUCUAACUUUCAUUACCUAUUAUUUUUUUUCUUAAUUAAGUUAUAAACCGUCUAUAAAUAGAGACUGUAAUCACAUUUGUAAAUCAUCUCAAAAAUAUAUUUCACAUAUUUCUUUCACCUAUAUAUAUUAAGAAAGUUGUUCGAGAAUAAGAGUUAUAGAUUAAUUAAUUCUAACGGAUACAAAGAUAGAAGGUCUGCUCCAAGGAACCGUGGCAACGAGAGAGUUAUACAUAUUUGUAUGCUUGAAGUAAAAUUCAUGUUUGUAAGUUGAUGUCCUUAAUUAUAUUGAUUGAAAAUAGUACUAUCAUGUUCGAUGAAUUCAAGAACAUGAAUGGAUUUGAUAUGACAGAUCUUGUCAUGAUGCACUACUUAAACAAUGCAAUGGGAUGAUGCAUUUCUUUUUUCUCAAAAGAAAUAUGUGGGACAAAUUCUAGUCAGAUGCAUAAUUGCAAUUAUGUAAACAUCUCAAUCAAGUAUGGUUUUAAGUUACAGACAGAAGAAAAUAAAGUGAAUACAUCUUACAAAGAAAUUGUUUGUAGACAGUUUAAUGUAUCUAACUGCAAUAAGGUAUAUCUAAUUUUAACAAGGUAUGAUACUUUGGAGUGUCUUAUCAUACUUGCCAGAGCUCUUGUCUCUUGCUUCUCUACAAAACAACCUAUUAUGAUUUUAUAUAUAUAACUUUUGAAUAAUAAUAACAAUAAUAAUAUUAAUAAUACAUUUAAAUUUAUUAACUGUUAUAGUUUUAUAAAUUUUAACUAGCUUAUUUUUAUUAGCUCAAUGUGAGAGUUGAAUUCUCCAAUAUUUUAUAGAAAGAAAAGUUCUGAUAAUACUCUUUAAUAUAUAUUCUAUUAUAGGUUAAAAUUUUAAUAAGAAUAAUAUUGAUUGAGAAAGUAAUAAAAUCUCUAUAUAUAAUAAUUUGAAAAAAAAUGCAUUAGAAUUCAGAGUAGGUUAGAAGUGUAUUACUAACUCUCUUUUGCGUGACAUUAACUUAUUUUAACACUCACUACAAGAAAAUCAUGAAAUAGAAAUCAAUUUUUAGAAACCAAAAUAAUUAGUUGUAAUAGUAAUUAAAUUAGAUAUCAUUUUAAAAACUGAAAAGAAAUUUGGUUUCUAAAUUAGUUUAUAUUAUUAAUAAAUAGUUUCUAAAUUGAUAUCUAAUUAGCAACCAAAGUUUUUGCUACCAAAUUUAGAAACUAAAUAAUUGGUAGUUAAAACCUUAGUUGCUAAUUAGAUAUCAAUUUAAAAACUAUUUAUUAAUAAUAUAAAUUAAUUUAGAAACCAAUUUUUUUUUUAGUUUCUAAAAUGGUCUCUAUUUUAGUUUCUAUUGUAACUAAUUAUUUUGGUCUCAAAAAAUUGAUUUUUAUUUGAUGAUUUUUUUGUAGUAACUCUUUUUUCUCAUAUUUUUUUUUUGUUAAAAUUGACUAAAAUUUGAUAAAUUGGAAAAAAAUUAUCCAAAGAGCAGAGUUCGUGUAUUAUUUAAAAUCGUGAGAGAGACGUAAAACUUGAGGGUAACUGAUCAGAGUUCACACUAUACUGUCUAUUUUCUGACAUCCUAAAGAUCUGCUUCAAUAUCCUGUCAGCUGAGUGUGUCCAAAUGCAAAUAUAUCAAUAUAUAAUGUUAUAUUUUACUCGGUAACUAAAUAUGACAUGUUAUGUUGUGUAUGAAUUGAAUAGAAAACGAAGUUAAGCUCCAAACCCAAACAUAUUUAACAUCUGUUUGUAGUGUAGUGCACUUAAAUCAUAAAUGGAAAUAAUUAAGGUAUAGAUGAUACCUGCAACUAGGCAAGUCCAUAUCAUGAUGUAUAUCUUCUUUCCUUUUCAAUCACCAAGAGAAGAAUUGAAUCUAACCUUCCUGAAAAAUAUGUAAUGCAGCAGUAAUCACACACAAAGUUAUAGUUAUAUACAUGAGAGCAAUCAUUUCAAGGUUGAACAAAACAAUGUUACGUACCAUAUAUAUAUAAUGUUCAUUAGAGGCUUUGAAACAGGUUACAUAUGUUAAUCAUAUAUCUAAGUACAUUCAACAUCAUUAAUUUUCCUGGCAAGCAAAAAGCACUAGGUGGGGCAUCCACUCCUAUGCUCAUAAGCAACAAUUGCUUAUAAGGUGCUCAAUCCGGUGUGUGGAUUCAAUAGGAUAUAGUAGAGAUGGCUGGUUUGGCAUGGUCUGAUAUGAAAUUCUGUGUUCAAUUUGUUUUGUAAGAACAGACACUGUGUUGCAACUAGGUAUGCAAUGCAUUUAGCAGUAUGUGUUUUGUUUAUGGUACAUUGGAAUGUACCUUUUUUUUUUGUGUGUAAAAGGAUUGAAACACAAACAAGUAACAGUUGCAUAUGUUUGAGGAAUCUUGAGCAGAAAGAAUUUAACGAUAUGCUACAUGAACUACAUUGUUCAAAACAUGAUUAUAUAUAAACACAAAUGGAGGCAACAGAAAGAAUUGAAGGGAUUCCCUUCAGUCCAAGCAAAAGAGACAGGAUGCAAAAUAUCUCCUGCUUCAUUCAUUCACACAAGUAGCCAAACACACCUCUUAUGAAUAAUCCCUACUGUGUGUGUACGAAUGAGUCAGCAGAUACUUCAGCAACCCUCCAUACCUUUGCCAGGACUGAAGGAACUCCUUCACUCUUUCUCUCCCCGUAAUGUGAGUAGCAAUGCAUUUGUUGCAACUUGGGAUAAUAAAUAAAUAUCACUCAAUACAUUAAUAUCUAUACAUAUAUCAAGGGGUUUUCUGGUUUCCUUUAAAUGGUUAUUGAAUCCUAUGUAUUAUAUUUCAAUAGUGUAUAUUUGUUUUGAAUUAUGAGAAUGGGUUUAGUACAUAAUAUUUUAUCUCUUGGUUGAUAAAAAAAAAUAUCUCUCUAUAUAUAUGAAAGCUUUCUAUGAUGAAAUUUAUAAAAUUAGAUUUGUCUAAGCUGAAUGAAAAAUAGUCUUGAAAAAUCUAUUCCAUUUUAUAUUUUAUAUUUUUUCUUCUAUUAAUGCUUAUAUAGAAAAAGUUAUUCAAUCAACACAUUAUGAAAUUGCAGAGCGAAUUAUUAGCUACUUUAUAACUUCAUACAAAAUAAAUAGAGAUGAAAUUGUUGGGAAAAACACUUCUGUAGGCCGAAAAGAAAAGGGCAGUAUCAAAUAUAAAGAAAGGUUGUUUUUUCCUUCACCUUCAUAGCUUCUAGUGAUGCUCAUAGAUUAGAUGAACAAAUCAUUUUAUUUUUAAAAAAUAUAUUUUAAAUUCUACAAUUUGAAAAUAUAUUUUUCUAUUUACACAUUGUAGAAUUAGAAAGAUAUCAGAUUCUAUAAUUAAAAAUAUAUAUUUUAAAAUAUAUAUAUAUAUAUAUUUGGAUUAAAAAAUUCAAAAAAUAUUUCCGGAUAUAUAAAUAUCUUUCAGAUAGAUUCUGUAAUUCAUAAAUAUCUUUAGAUUUUAUUAUCAAGAGUUUUUCCGGAUCACUUAUUUCAAAAUAAAAAACAUUAAUAAGAUAAAAAAAAAAUAUUUUUGAUAUUUUAAGAAAUAUGAAAGUGUGAGAAGAAGAAGCUAUGAAGUUGCAGGAGGAAAUUGCUAGAAAAAAACAGUACCAAAACAAUAAAGUAGUUUCUAAUAUAAAGAAAACUUAGGAGUGGGAAAAGGAUAAGAGCUGAAUCAACAAGAAUUACCGUGAAAGCUAAUCCCCGCAAAUGAGCGACGCUCAAGUUAAUCCCAUGCAAGUUUGAAUUAAAUUUCAUUUGAAAAAAAAAUGGUCAAAAUCCUAAUUCACAUAUAAGGGUAUAUAUAUAGCAGCAAUCCAACACCUAGAAAAGAAAAUAGGAGCGGUAGGCAUAGAACUCCAACUGCAGAGAACCCUAAUUUUCAGAACUGCAAGAACAGUGAAGAAAGAUUAAUCCAACACAACACAACAUAGAGAGUAAAUUUAAUUUUAGAGAGAUGAAAGGUAGAACAAUAGUGGGUAUGAAUUGAAAGAGUUGUUCAUUUUCUGUGUUUUGAUGACAAAAUAAAAAAAAAACACAAAAAUUAAAGUUGGAAGUUAGAAUUAUGUAGGAAAAGGAAGGUGAGAGCAAAGAAGGUUGCUUCGAGAGACAUGUUCUGCUGCCACAAACCCUAAACCAGGAGUGUUAUUGUGGCAGACAGACGAAAGAAAAAGAAAUUUAUAAACAAA